GUGCCAGCAGCCGCGGUAAUUCCAGCUCCAAUAGCGUAUAUUAAAGUUGUUGUGGUUAAAAAGCUCGUAGUUGAACCUUGGGCCUGGCUGGCCGGUCCGCCUCACCGCGUGCACUGGUCCGGCCGGGCCUUUCCCUCUGUGGAACCCCAUACCCUUCACUGGGCGUGGCGGGGAAACAGGACAUUUACUUUGAAAAAAUUAGAGUGCUCCAGGCAGGCCUAUGCUCGAAUACAUUAGCAUGGAAUAAUAAAAUAGGACGCGCGGUUCUAUUUUGUUGGUUUAUAGGACCGCCGUAAUGAUUAAUAGGGACAGUCGGGGGCAUCAGUAUUCAACUGUCAGAGGUGAAAUUCUUGGAUCAGUUGAAGACUAACUACUGCGAAAGCAUUUGCCAAGGAUGUUUUCAUUAAUCAGGAACGAAAGUUAGGGGAUCGAAGACGAUCAGAUACCGUCGUAGUCUUAACCAUAAACUAUGCCGACUAGGGAUCGGACGGUGUUAUUCAUGACCCGUUCGGCACCUUACGAGAAAUCAAAGUGCUUGGGCUCCAGGGGGAGUAUGGUCGCAAGGCUGAAACUUAAAGAAAUUGACGGAAGGGGCACCACCAGGGGUGGAGCCUGCGGCUUAAUUUGACUCAACACGGGGGAACUCACUAGGUCCAGACACAUAAGGAUUGACAGAUUGAGAGCUCUUUCUUGAUUUUUGUGGUGGUGUGCAUGGCCGUCUAGUUGUGGGGUGACUUGUCUGCUUAAUUGCGAUUACCGAACGAGACCUUAACCUGCUAAUAGGCCCGCAAUGGG
This 795-nucleotide ribosomal RNA is filed under the name uncultured fungus. Its description in RNAcentral is "SSU rRNA". It matches the Rfam family "Eukaryotic small subunit ribosomal RNA", at positions 564 to 1369 of the family's 1831-position model. Lineage: Eukaryota; Fungi. The record is from RNAcentral.